This 492-nucleotide ribosomal RNA is filed under the name uncultured bacterium. RNAcentral describes it as "partial 16S ribosomal RNA". It matches the Rfam family "Bacterial small subunit ribosomal RNA", at positions 29 to 507 of the family's 1533-position model. The record is from RNAcentral.
AGUGAACGCUGGCGGUAGGCCUAACACAUGCUAGUCGAACGGCAGCCCAGUAAGAGCUUGCUCUUACGGGUGGCGAGUGGCGGACGGGUGAGGAAUACAUCGGAAUCUACUUUUUCGUGGGGGAUAACGUAGGGAAACUUACGCUAAUACCGCAUACGACCUACGGGUGAAAGCAGGGGAUCUUCGGACCUUGCGCGAUUGAAUGAGCCGAUGUCGGAUUAGCUAGUUGGCGGGGUAAAGGCCCACCAAGGCGACGAUCCGUAGCUGGUCUGAGAGGAUGAUCAGCCACACUGGAACUGAGACACGGUCCAGACUCCUACGGGAGGCAGCAGUGGGGAAUAUUGGACAAUGGGCGCAAGCCUGAUCCAGCCAUACCGCGUGGGUGAAGAAGGCCUUCGGGUUGUAAAGCCCUUUUGUUGGGAAAGAAAAGCAGCAGGUUAAUACCCCGCUGUUCUGACGGUACCCAAAGAAUAAGCACCGGCUAACUUCGUG